GACCUCUAAUCGGAAAAGACUACCCGCUGAGUUUAAGCAUAUCACUAAGCGGAGGAGAAGAAACGAAC
This 68-nucleotide ribosomal RNA is filed under the name Billbuckia matutina. RNAcentral describes it as "Donnellia matutina partial 26S ribosomal RNA". It matches the Rfam family "Eukaryotic large subunit ribosomal RNA", at positions 1 to 69 of the family's 3401-position model. The record is from RNAcentral. Lineage: Eukaryota; Viridiplantae; Streptophyta; Bryopsida; Hypnales; Sematophyllaceae.